ACCCGUUAAAGAAGGGCCAUCGUACUCACUUCAGAGUUUAGAUCUCGUUGACAACACACGCAACAAGAAGAUAACAGUAAACCUGUGGGGCCGCAGCUCAGAAGUACAAAUUCCACCAAGUGGAACUGAAGUGACUGUCGAGAAUCUUCUCACCGAUUCGUAUUAAGACAGAGUAGUGCUCAAAGCUACACAAGAAACAACAUUUUUGACAGAAGAAGCACCUGCAGCGACAGCAAAAACUGUAACGUUUGUUGCAUUCAUUGAGGACAGUAACAACAUCACUUUCCUUGAUGACCUUGACAUCGAGUAUUAUAGCACAGCUGACCUAUUCUGUAACACCCUUGCCAUUCAGCAACCUGCUGAAGCUCAUCAACAUCUGCCCUUGACUGUCAACAUUGAGCUGCAGACUGUCACAGGCAAAAACACCAUCACCUCCAUGGCUAAGACAUGUGACAGGUAAUACAACACAGUCAUGACAACUAUUAUUAAUGCCGUGUUCCAGAAGUUAGGGUGUUUGACUCUUGGACAACGAUACAUGGGUUCAGUCCCUACUACCAGUAUGUUGCUUGUGCCCUUCAACUACACACUUAAAUAAAAUUGCCCCUCUCCACGCACAAGUU
Molecule: long non-coding RNA, 620 nt
Organism: Patiria miniata (bat star)
Lineage: Eukaryota; Metazoa; Echinodermata; Asteroidea; Valvatida; Asterinidae
Exons: 3
Source: RefSeq, a predicted model, not a curated record